UACGUAGGUGGCAAGCGUUGUCCGGAUUUAUUGGGGGUAAAGCGCGCGCAGGUGGUUCGUUGCGUCCGAGGUGAAAUCUCCCGGCUCAACUGGGAGGGGUCUUCGGAUACGGGCGGACUAGAGGAGAGCAGAGGUAGGCGGAAUGCUGGGUGUAGUGGUGAAAUGCGUAGAUAUCCAGCGGAACACCAGUGGCGAAGGCGGCCUACUGGGCUCCACCUGACACUGAGGCGCGAAAGCGUGGGGAGCAAACGGG
RNAcentral lists this ribosomal RNA (253 nucleotides) under uncultured bacterium. Its description in RNAcentral is "partial 16S ribosomal RNA". It matches the Rfam family "Bacterial small subunit ribosomal RNA", at positions 524 to 776 of the family's 1533-position model. The record is from RNAcentral.